RNAcentral lists this ribosomal RNA (327 nucleotides) under uncultured eukaryote. Its description in RNAcentral is "partial 18S ribosomal RNA". It matches the Rfam family "Eukaryotic small subunit ribosomal RNA", at positions 1470 to 1796 of the family's 1831-position model. The record is from RNAcentral.
CCCUUAGAUGUUCUGGGCCGCACGCGCGCUACACUGACGAAUGCAACGAGCUUAUAACCUUGGCCGAAAGGUCUGGGUAAUCUCCAAAUUUCGUCGUGAUGGGGAUAGAUUAUUGCAAUUAUUAAUCUUCAACGAGGAAUGCCUAGUAAGCGCAAGUCAUCAGCUUGCGUUGAUUACGUCCCUGCCCUUUGUACACACCGCCCGUCGCUCCUACCGAUUGAAUGGUCCGGUGAAGCGUUCGGACCGUGGCCUUUGGACGGUUCGCCGUCUAUUGGCUGCGGGAAGUUCGUUAAACCUUAUCAUUUAGAGGAAGGAGAANUCGUANCA